UCACUGAACAGUUAUGGCCCCCCCUUCAAGUCGCUGACUAACUCAUAGUUAGAGAGCUGAAAAGCAGGAUCUCGUGUUUUGUUAGACAUCUCCAGCCUUUAUGACCUCUAUUAAUGGCCUCUAAAAACAUGACCUUAAUUCCACCUUACACCACAGAGUACUCCCUGCUGGGCUGCUGGGACACUCACAUAGCAUGGCAGCAGCAGCAUGAGACGAGAGAGGAGUGGGAGGAGCAGAGUCACGUGGAAGAUAGGACGGAGGAGCGGCCCUAGAACCCAUCAGAUGCAUUCAAAGAGCUCCUGAGGCAAUCCGUCCUGUGUUCCAGAUAUCAAGACUAUCAAGAUGUUUACAGAUCUUUUAUUUCUGGUUUUACAAUCCAGAAAAAGAAAAUGACGGUCCAUUUUUAUACUAUUUUCUCUUGCCACGUCUCGCCAUUUGCUACACGUUGUUCCUCUGGUGAGAGCAAUCCUGAUUACCCAUGGGGUUGUUGGAAAAAAAACAAAAACAUAAUCCACUACUGUUGGGAGUAGAAAUACUUUAAUGUUUGGUGCAGAAGGAAUACAGGAACAUUAUCUGUCACUAAACACUUUGCAGACAAGGGGAGGGGUGUCAUAAGGAGUGAGCAGACAUUUAGAAAAGAAAAUUCAGUUGGCAUACAGUCACUAAGAAUCACAAAUGCCUACAGUUUUAAAGGAUCACUGCAUUUAUCAUAGCAAUAAAAGACUAAUAUAUAUAUUUUUUAAUUUAGGGGGUAUAUAAAAAAUAUUGAAAUUACAUACACAAAUUUAAUCCAGAUCAGCUCUAAGAUCCUGAGAUAAGGCACAGCUUUAAAUAUUACACAACCUAACCACUCUGGAGGCUGUUCAGAAGUCAGAGGUUUAGGAUUUCAGGCAUUUAGCAACCCAAAUCUUCUCAUCUGCAAUAAAAAGAUGAAAUAUUAAGGGAAAGCUUAUUUUAGGCUAUAAAAAUCACAGUGACUUGCUACAAUGCAACUAUAUUCCAACAUUAACUCAGAGAAACAACCCUAAAAAGUCACCCACACUGGUGAGUUACAGAGACAGAUGUAGCUCUAAAGUCAGAGGGUCGAAUACUGGCUCAGUGUCCCAGUGAUUGAGGAUAGAACCAGCCCAAGAGGGACUGGCACCGAAGACAUAGCACCGGGGGCAUAAUCUACCUCCAUACAUUACAUGUAGGGGUAUACAGCAACACCCAACAUGCCAAGAAAUGGAGGUGCACAGAAUGGUUGAACAUUUCUAAUGCGACAGAGUCAAGUGGCCAAAUUGCUUCACCUUAAAUUACAGGCCCCUCCCUUCCCUUUCUCCCCAAAAGGCCAAACACACAGCUCCAUUUCCCAUAAAGCAACUUCAACAAUCCAGCCUAUCACCAUCCAUGCAUGCUCACCUCCAUGCAGUCUGUAAAGAACAAACUUAGUCAUGCAGCCCAAUAUAUACCAGACGAUCAUCUCAGCAACAAGGAGGUGGGCAAGAGCGGUCAGUCAGAAGACUAGUUGAAACGAGAGACUUGGAACCCACAAGAAAGCCUAUCACAGUUUAUUGUUCCACGUGAUUCCAGCAUGGCUCC
Long non-coding RNA from Xenopus laevis (African clawed frog), 1581 nucleotides. RefSeq lists it as uncharacterized. The record is from RefSeq and is a predicted model, not a curated record. The transcript has 2 exons. Lineage: Eukaryota; Metazoa; Chordata; Amphibia; Anura; Pipidae.